This 253-nucleotide ribosomal RNA is filed under the name uncultured bacterium. RNAcentral describes it as "partial 16S ribosomal RNA". It matches the Rfam family "Bacterial small subunit ribosomal RNA", at positions 524 to 776 of the family's 1533-position model. The record is from RNAcentral.
UACGUAGGGUGCGAGCGUUAAUCGGAAUUACUGGGCGUAAAGCGUGCGCAGGCGGUUGUGCAAGACAGAUGUGAAAUCCCCGGGCUUAACCUGGGAAUGGCAUUUGUGACUGCACGGCUAGAGUGUGUCAGAGGGGGGUAGAAUUCCACGUGUAGCAGUGAAAUGCGUAGAUACGUGGAGGAAUACCGAUGGCGAAGGCAGCCCCCUGGGAUAACACUGACGCUCAUGCACGAAAGCGUGGGGAGCAAACAGG